Molecule: long non-coding RNA, 227 nt
Filed under: Vigna radiata
Lineage: Eukaryota; Viridiplantae; Streptophyta; Magnoliopsida; Fabales; Fabaceae
Description: long non-coding RNA (VRAD_LNC000973)
Source: RNAcentral
CGGUCCAGGGCGAGGAGUAGGCACCUGGCGUUGGCGCUGGGCGGAUUUGCGAUUACAGGGAAACCGCCGGGCGGUAGACCCCUACCAUCGGGCGGUAGUGCGAUUUGUGGGAAACCGCCAGGCGUCACACUUGUUCCGUCGGGCGGUUGUCUGCUGGGCUUGGGCCUGUUUUCUGUUGCGCUCCUCACCUAUAAAUAGCCCUAUUGCGAGUUUAGAUGCAUUCUUUU